This 446-nucleotide ribosomal RNA is filed under the name uncultured bacterium. RNAcentral describes it as "bacterial SSU rRNA". It matches the Rfam family "Bacterial small subunit ribosomal RNA", at positions 331 to 792 of the family's 1533-position model. The record is from RNAcentral.
CCAGACUCCUACGGGAGGCAGCAGUGGGGAAUAUUGGGCAAUGGACGCAAGUCUGACCCAGCAACGCCGCGUGAAGGAAGAAGGCUUUCGGGUUGUAAACUUCUUUUAAGGGGGAAGAGCAGAAGACGGUACCCCUUGAAUAAGCCACGGCUAACUACGUGCCAGCAGCCGCGGUAAUACGUAGGUGGCAAGCGUUGUCCGGAUUUACUGGGUGUAAAGGGCGUGCAGCCGGAGAGACAAGUCAGAUGUGAAAUCCACGGGCUCAACCCGUGAACUGCAUUUGAAACUGUUUCCCUUGAGUGUCGGAGAGGUAAUCGGAAUUCCUUGUGUAGCGGUGAAAUGCGUAGAUAUAAGGAAGAACACCAGUGGCGAAGGCGGAUUACUGGACGAUAACUGACGGUGAGGCGCGAAAGCGUGGGGAGCAAACAGGAUUAGAUACCCCAGUA